GUGCCAGCCGCCGCGGUAAUACGUAGGCAGCAAGCGUUGUUCGGAGUUACUGGGCGUAAAGGGUGUGUAGGCGGUUCUCUAAGUUUGGUGUGAAAUCUCCCGGCUCAACUGGGAGGGUGCGCCGAAAACUGGAGGGCUAGAGUACUGGAUGGGAGAGUGGAAUUCCUGGUGUAGCGGUGAAAUGCGUAGAUAUCAGGAGGAACACCUGUGGUGUAGACGGCUCUCUGGACAGUCACUGACGCUGAGACACGAAAGCGUGGGUAGCAAACAGGAUUAGAUACCCUGGUAGUCCACGCCCUAAACGAUGCAUAUUUGGUGUGGGUCAUUCAUUUGAUCCGUGCCGGAGCUAACGCGUUAAAUAUGCCGCCUGGGGAGUACGGUCGCAAGGCUGAA
RNAcentral lists this ribosomal RNA (393 nucleotides) under uncultured bacterium. RNAcentral describes it as "bacterial SSU rRNA". It matches the Rfam family "Bacterial small subunit ribosomal RNA", at positions 505 to 898 of the family's 1533-position model. The record is from RNAcentral.